This 324-nucleotide ribosomal RNA is filed under the name Triticum aestivum (bread wheat). RNAcentral describes it as "partial small subunit ribosomal RNA". The record is from RNAcentral. Lineage: Eukaryota; Viridiplantae; Streptophyta; Magnoliopsida; Poales; Poaceae.
AUGCACUGCCGCUGCGACGGGUGCACGCCCAAGGUGAGCUCCGCCCUGAACAACCUCGCGCUGGCACCGGGCGUGGUGGCGGUGCUGGAACGGUCGGCGACGGAGGACACCGAGGAGGUGCGCCUGCUGGCAACGGCCGACCCCGAGCGCCUCCGCAAGAGCCUCCACGAGGCCACCGGCAAGAAGAAGGCGGUGCUUCUCUCUGGCCGCCUCGUCACCAUCAUGCACAUCACCCCGCACUGCAUCGAGAUGCACAGCAAAAUCCACAUCCUCACCUUCAUCCAUGGACUGCCUCGCGCAACACUGGCCACCGAUAAACCAUAG